CUUCCGCCCUCCCCGCACAGGAGGACGGAUCGAGGUAAGCCGCGCGCUCUGCCCUGACCGCGCAGGCACCUCCCAACCGGCCGCCGGGAACCGCACACCCUGUGGCCGUUAGUACUCCGGGCUACGGUGCCGGGCGGGCUGAGGGUCCCGCCCCGGCAC
RNAcentral lists this non-coding RNA (159 nucleotides) under Streptomyces sp. Mg1. RNAcentral describes it as "Streptomyces sRNA scr5239". It matches the Rfam family "Streptomyces sRNA scr5239". Rfam says of the family: It inhibits agarase DagA expression by direct base pairing to the dagA coding region, and it represses translation of methionine synthase metE (SCO0985) at the 5' end of its open reading frame. The record is from Rfam by way of RNAcentral. Lineage: Bacteria; Bacillati; Actinomycetota; Actinomycetes; Kitasatosporales; Streptomycetaceae.